RNAcentral lists this ribosomal RNA (435 nucleotides) under uncultured bacterium. Its description in RNAcentral is "bacterial SSU rRNA". It matches the Rfam family "Bacterial small subunit ribosomal RNA", at positions 29 to 507 of the family's 1533-position model. The record is from RNAcentral.
AACGAACGCUGGCGGCAUGCCUAACACAUGCAAGUCGAACGAGGCCCUUCGGGGUUUAGUGGCGCACGGGUGCGUAACGCGUGGGAAUCUGCCCUUUGGUUCGGAAUAACAGCUGGAAACGGCUGCUAAUACCGGAUGGUGACGAGAGUCCAAAGAUUUAUCGCCAGAGGAUGAGCCCGCGUUGGAUUAGGUAGUUGGUGGGGUAAAGGCCUACCAAGCCGACGAUCCAUAGCUGGUCUGAGAGGAUGAUCAGCCACACUGGGACUGAGACACGGCCCAGACUCCUACGGGAGGCAGCAGUGGGGAAUAUUGGACAAUGGGCGCAAGCCUGAUCCAGCAAUGCCGCGUGAGUGAUGAAGGCCCUAGGGUUGUAAAGCUCUUUUACCCGGGAAGAUAAUGACUGUACCGGGAGAAUAAGCCCCGGCUAACUCCGUG